GGGGUUGUGGCUCAGAGAAAGAGUGCUUGCCUAGCGUGCAUGAGGCACUGGGUUCAAUCCUCAGCACCACA
Molecule: transfer RNA, 71 nt
Filed under: Marmota monax (woodchuck)
Lineage: Eukaryota; Metazoa; Chordata; Mammalia; Rodentia; Sciuridae
Description: tRNA.Ala
Rfam family: tRNA
About the family: Transfer RNA (tRNA) molecules are approximately 80 nucleotides in length. Their secondary structure includes four short double-helical elements and three loops (D, anti-codon, and T loops). Further hydrogen bonds mediate the characteristic L-shaped molecular structure. tRNAs have two regions of fundamental functional importance: the anti-codon, which is responsible for specific mRNA codon recognition, and the 3' end, to which the tRNAs corresponding amino acid is attached (by aminoacyl-tRNA synthetases). tRNAs cope with the degeneracy of the genetic code in two manners: having more than one tRNA (with a specific anti-codon) for a particular amino acid; and 'wobble' base-pairing, i.e. permitting non-standard base-pairing at the 3rd anti-codon position.
Source: RNAcentral